Long non-coding RNA from Anneissia japonica, 602 nucleotides. RefSeq lists it as uncharacterized. The transcript is spliced from 3 exons. The record is from RefSeq and is a predicted model, not a curated record. Lineage: Eukaryota; Metazoa; Echinodermata; Crinoidea; Comatulida; Comatulidae.
GAAGGAGUGGUGGGAAGAUGGAGAGGGCGAAGGAAAAUGACGCUGCUAUAGGAAUUAGAGUAUCAUGAGAGAAAAGUGAGAACGCAUACGAGAGUUGCAAGCAUUGAAGAGUGAUCGGUCAUGCACACUGAUCAACGCAACAUUUGAAUUGUGGAUUUAACCCGGUAAAUUCAUCAAAAUUAUUUUUUGGGAUGUUAUUGGUAAGCAUCAUUCUUAAGGAAUGUAUGUAUACUCUGUAACAUGAAUAGGAUAAAGACACCGAUUGGUAUAGGCCUGUGCCUGAAUAUGAUUAGGAAUACAAAGUCGACAUUGUUGUUCUGUCUCAUUAUUAGUACUCUUGGAAUAACGUUCUUUUCUACGAAGCAAACGCCUGCUGCAUUUCGACACAGUGAUUUUCCUUCCCUACGUAAGUAUAUAGCCUACUCAAACAUUUUUUUUCACACAUAGAGGUGAUUGGGAGAAGUAUGUGCUGGUGGACACGUAUUUGCGUAUUAUCACCCAAUUUCCUCUUAAUAAAAGAUGUGUAUGAACAAAGUUUAUUAUUACGCACAAUUUGAGAACUCUCGGUAUUGGUUCCAAAAUUAUAAUGCCAUAAAAAAAGA